AGGAAAGGGAGGGAUUCGAACCCCUCGGUAA
Molecule: transfer RNA, 31 nt
Filed under: Elaphoglossum ciliatum
Lineage: Eukaryota; Viridiplantae; Streptophyta; Polypodiopsida; Polypodiales; Dryopteridaceae
Also listed under: 2 other names
Description: partial tRNA-Ser
Source: RNAcentral